Long non-coding RNA from Lactuca sativa (garden lettuce), 607 nucleotides. RefSeq lists it as uncharacterized. Lineage: Eukaryota; Viridiplantae; Streptophyta; Magnoliopsida; Asterales; Asteraceae. The record is from RefSeq and is a predicted model, not a curated record.
UUCACAAUCAAAUAAGUUCUCUACAUUUUCAAUAUUUUCCAAUGGAUUCUCUAUGCGUGCUCAAUUGUUUCUCCGUCACAAGAAUGCAUCUCCUAUAGAAACCCAUUCAGCAAGGGAAUUCACCGUAAUAGGACAAAAAAACGUUUCGGGUUGUGGAUUUUUUGAAGCCAAUAGUUACUCUAAUCGUGGUCAUUUCUUGAUAUUUCAACAUAAACUCUCCCAUUGUCUGUGAUGUGUCCACCCUAACCAGAGAAGAAGAGACGGGGGGAAAUGGAAAUGAAGUCAAUGACGUCUCAUGGGCAGGUUCAGCUGACUCUUCGACUAAACCAUCAAGUUAAAUUUGGUGAGCACGUUGGAGUCUUGGGGUCCCAAAAGAAUUCGACUCGUGUAAGAAGAAGAACAAGAUGGGUGGUCCAAUGGUGCCUUCUAUUAUGCUUCGUUUUUUUUGUAACGUGUUUGCGGAGGGACCAAAUGACUCCAAACUUGGACUAAAAACCACCAUUUGUGUAAUUGUUUCUAGAUUACUAGUGUUUCCUGUAUAAUGAAUUUUAGUUGUAACUUUUGUGGCAAUUUGAGUUCUAUAUUACAAGUGCUUCCUUUGUAGACA